AGUUGGCUGCGACCAGCGGUGACUUACAAGUUGGCUGCUGUCGCCUGCGCAUCGGCGGGCCGGGAGGCUGAGCAGUACUGUUGAGAGCGGUGUGAGGUGCUUGGUAGCGCGCCGUAGCUGCUUCCACGUCCUUGCUUCACCUCAGGUAAAGAAAGAUGUAACUGUUUGGAGAAAACCCUCAGAAGAAUUUAAUGGAUAUCUAAUUGCUGUGUGAUGCGUUACACUACUGCUGGUCAGCUUUGGAAUAUAAUUUCCCCAAGAGAAUUUGUUGAUUUCUCCUAUACUGUGGGCUAUAAAGAAGGGCUUUUAUCUUGUGGUAAUAAUCUCAACAUGUUAUGCUUUUUUUCAGUAUGGUUUAAAUAUUUGUGUUUUCUUGGCUGGAUGUCUCUUUCCUUGUGAGAUAUAUUUUCAACUCUGACUCUGUAAUCACUAACAUUUUUUGCAAGUGCUAAACUCUAGGGAGUAAAAUAGCAAUAUCAAAAGAGUUUUGAAACCCUUCUGAUAAGUUUUUGUUCCCAGUUACACAGUAUCCUCUAGGUCAGAGGUAGCAAAUGUGGAUCACAUGACUGCCUCUAAGAAAGGGUUCUAGUAAAUGGAUUUUCUUCUAAGCCACUCUCAGAAAACAGUUUCUUGGUCAUACACAGAGAAGUACUAGAUUUGGUGUGUCUUAGAAUAUUCUUCCUUCCUUGAGCUGUGUUGUAUUUUUCUU
RNAcentral lists this long non-coding RNA (709 nucleotides) under Homo sapiens (human). RNAcentral's name for it is "non-protein coding lnc-NREP-1:3". The record is from RNAcentral. Lineage: Eukaryota; Metazoa; Chordata; Mammalia; Primates; Hominidae.